This 392-nucleotide ribosomal RNA is filed under the name uncultured bacterium. RNAcentral describes it as "bacterial SSU rRNA". It matches the Rfam family "Bacterial small subunit ribosomal RNA", at positions 30 to 423 of the family's 1533-position model. The record is from RNAcentral.
AUUGAACGCUGGCGGCAUGCCUUACACAUGCAAGUCGAACGGCAGCACGGGAGCAAUCCUGGUGGCGAGUGGCGAACGGGUGAGUAAUAUAUCGGAACGUGCCCAGUCGUGGGGAUAACGUAGCGAAAGCUACGCUAAUACCGCAUACGAUCUAUGGAUGAAAGCGGGGGAUCGCAAGACCUCGCGCGAUUGGAGCGGCCGAUAUCAGAUUAGGUAGUUGGUGAGGUAAAGGCUCACCAAGCCGACGAUCUGUAGCUGGUCUGAGAGGACGACCAGCCACACUGGGACUGAGACACGGCCCAGACUCCUACGGGAGGCAGCAGUGGGGAAUUUUGGACAAUGGGCGCAAGCCUGAUCCAGCAAUGCCGCGUGCAGGAUGAAGGCCUUCGGUU